This 377-nucleotide ribosomal RNA is filed under the name uncultured eukaryote. RNAcentral's name for it is "partial 18S ribosomal RNA". It matches the Rfam family "Eukaryotic small subunit ribosomal RNA", at positions 592 to 976 of the family's 1831-position model. The record is from RNAcentral.
CAAUAGCGUAUAUUUAAGUUGCUGCAGUUAAAAAGCUCGUAGUUGGAUUUCGGGUGGGAAUGGCCGGUCCGCCGUUUCGGUGUGCACUUGCUACGCCCACCUUGCUGCCGGGGACGUGCUCUUGAGUUCACGCUCGGGACACGGAGUCGGCGAGGUUACUUUGAGUAAAUUAGAGUGUUCAAAGCAGGCCUACGCUCUGAAUACAUUAGCAUGGAAUAAUAGAACAGGACUUAUGCUCCAUUUUGUUGGUUAUUGGGCAAAAGUAAUGAUUAAAAGGGACAGUUGGGGGCAUUAGUAUUUAAUUGUCAGAGGUGAAAUUCUUGGAUUUAUUAAAGACUAACUUAUGCGAAAGCAUUUGCCAAGGAUGUUUUCAUUGA